CACACAAUAAAAGCAUUGGAGGAGGGUGCACAAUUUCAGGAGAGACAGAACCCAGGUGGCAGCCCAUCUCCAGGGCCAGGUGGAAGCUAGGGGAAGGCCAGUCUCUGCCCAUGUGCCUUUUAGAGGCCACGAUUUACUUUCUUUUAGUUCCCAAGGUGUGCUACCUAAAUGGCAGAUAGGGAAAUAAAUAUGUCCCAGGCGAGGCUGCAGGCGGCGUGUAAUCUGGGGGGCCUCCCGUCCCUUCUGAGACACCUUUGGUACAGCCCUUAGGCCAGAGUUUGUUACAGAUUCAUGGACAUUUUUGUAGGCUAACUCCUCUGCCCUAGAUUGAUGCACUCUGCGUAUGAAGAGCUGUGCUCGGUGGGAAAGCAAAGCCUUGCCCUUCCGUUUCCAAGCUCUCUCUGGAAACCUUCCUCCUGUCCACACCCAGGAAAGAUACCAGGGGUGAAUGGCAGGGGAGUUCUUGGUUCAUCUUGGAAAGAGACGUAGCUGUCCUUGAUCCAGGAGCUAGAUGAACAGGCCGUUAAAAAAUGCCAACCAUGUGUGUCAGUUGCUGCUGGAAAAAAUCACCAUGCUGCAUUGUGUAUGAUGGGCUGAGGGGUUGGCACGAGCCCUUACAAUCUGUGUGUCAGCAAGAGCCCUUCUUCUCUCCUGCCCAAGAGCAUCUUAUGGAAGCGAGUUCUCCCGGGGAGAAUGGCAGCGUGGGCCCUGGUGGCCAGGAGAAGACCAGCAGACAGACUUCUGCCUCUUUCAUGUUGUUCUUGGCCUCUAAGUCAGAUCAUUUAGUCCCUGUCUCCAGAGGGGUAAACUUCAGCCAUUUGCUUUUUCAGCAACUAAUACCUGGAAAGGGCUUGGCGGUACCACAGGGACUCUGUGCCCAAAUGAGGCAUUGGUCCCACUUUGUCUUCCACAGAAUAACAAUGUCAAUUACAAGAGCAGUUUCUGGCCAGUGAUAAACUCUGGGCUGAGUGCCCCUCAUUCGAUCUGGUUCUUCCACUAGUCAGUCCUCUGAGCUCAGCGGGGAGGGGUCCCCUUUCUGUAGCUGAGGAAGCCAGAGCCUUAGAGGUCAAAGGGCACCCACCCCACAGUUAUAGCAAGCACAUGGGAGGACCAGACCCCAAGUCUGGUUGACUCCUCGAUGCUGCACAGCGUGUUGGAGAGAAGGAACAUUUGGGAAGGCAGUCCAACUGCUUGGGUGACUCCUUUCACAGUCUCAUGGCCUGACCCCCACUCUCUGCAACCCUUCCUAAAGUUCCUUCUUGGGGCCAGCAGCAUCUCUGGGAGGAAAACCCUCUCCCAGCCCAGAGGCGUCUCCUGAAGAGCAGCCCUUCUUCCCCAGGGCCUUUCUCAUAACACGCCCCUCUUAUUCCCUCUUCCCAUUCUGUUCCUCUCCAAAUCUGUCCAGGGCUGAGUUCAUUAGCUCUGACAAGCAGUGGUGCUGCAGAAGAGGGGCAGUAAGAUGCAGAGGAGGACGGGGUACCAUCUGCCGACCCCAACCCCUUGGUCUUCCAUCGUGAUGUCAAGGCUCCGGGUUGAUGCCAAGACCCUGGGGGGGGCAGAGUAGGAGUGGAAUCAGCCCAGGGUCCUAGGACCGGCAUCUCCCAGGGACCGAAUCUGGACAAGUGCCUAGGAAUGACUGAAAUCAAAGAGCACGUUUGAAGGCUUGGAAGCAGGGAUGAUUUUUCCCUGCUCUGAUCAAACUGGAAUAUGAAAUCCCCAAACCAGAGUGUGGCAGAGCCCUGCAUGUCCAGGGAUCGAAGCAAGGUUGAGACCAGGUUGCAGUGACUGCCUCUUGCUGGUCAGGUCCUGUAUUUUCUUUUGAUGCCAUACCCACCCCCCUACCCCCCCACCCCCCGCACGAUACGUCGAGUCAUCUGGGAUGAAUGUCUGUCAGCCCGAGGGUUUCUGGGCGCCUGGAAGGGUCCUGAGGAAACUCCUGAGGUGUGGAAUAUCAAAGGCUCUUUUCCUGAAGAAGAGCGUUGCAGCUUUGUUAGCCCACCGGAAGCUGUGCCUGUCUCUUCAUUGAAGAGGCCGGGAGAUCAGACUGCUACAGAUCCACUCAGCUAUGGGGACGGACGUGUUGCAGAGCGUGAGGAGGAUGCUUCUGCUAAGUCUGAUAUCUGGGCAGAUGGAUGGUGUGGUUGAGUGGGAUUUAGAGGUUCAGUGCAGGCCUGUGAUAUGACCAGAGACAUCUGCGCUCAUAAUUCCCUUGGGAAGGCUCCAGUGUGCCCUGCUCCUUCUGCGUAGAGGUUUCUAACAGUGUCCCGCCCAUUCUUCUCCCCUUCCCCUGUACCUCCCCUGGGAACGGGCUACAAAGGCGGUGGGGCUCCGGUCUUCAGAAGUGUUCCUGUGGAACCCUGCUCCUGGUACUAAUCACGCUCAGUGGGGGCCUGCUCCGGCUUCCGCUUCUCCACGCUGCUUCCUCUGAGUGCUCCUGUCCUCUCUCUGACGCUGCUUCCUGACCUUGACUCUGACCGGUCGCCGCGGGGCUUUCCUUUGUGCUUGAUCUAACCAUGUGGUGGAACGAUGGAAACGGAACAUGGUUCUGUCAAGCACCGCGGAAAGCACCGCGCUCUCCUGCAGCAUGGCCCGCCGCCACCGCCGCCACCGCUGGACACCUCUUCUCUGCUCUGGAGCACCGCAGCCCAGCACCCGCCAGACCCGCCUGUCCCGGUCUAGCCUCACAAAGGGCAAUGGGGGGGGUGCGGGGGAGGGAACAGUCUCGAAGGAGUCCCAGAGCAAUCUCCACCUCCAGGUAGCAGAUAUGGGCUGAAAACGGGUACGGAGAAGCUAACUGGGGACACGCUAAGAUCUAUAUCCGCAUGUCCUACCCCAGGUGGAGUCGUCAUCCCCCAGAGCUACACUGAAUGCCAGCCGAGGGGUAAAGUCCAGGUCAAAGCUCAGAAACCACUGUUUUAUCUUCUAUUCAGAGAGAACAGGUCCCCGACGGCAUAUGCCCCAUGGUUUCAUGGCAGGGUUCCAGCGCAAGGUUUUUUCCCAAGUGGUAGCUAACCCAGAGGUCAUACUGGUGUGACCCACUCUCUACCCACCAUCUUUACCGGAAGUAUUGGGGAUGCAUGUGAAGCAAUGAGAAUGGGUGAAAGUGGCAUGAGUCUGAGACUUUGGAUUUAACCUGUGGCUCUUUUGAACCCAACCCCCACUCCUCAUGAGUACCUUGGCCCUAGGCCUCCACCCCCCGCCAUGCAGCCUGAAGUCCAGUCCAUGUCCUUCACCUCCUAAGAACAGUUGACAUGGUGACUUAGGUGCUGGGCUCCUCACAUGGUGCUGAUUCCAUGCCCCCAAGGGCUGUGCAGAAAUCAGCUGUCUCUGACAAUAAAGGGAUGGUGGCACCUGCCAUUCUGUUUGCUUCUUGGUAAAUCCUUAGUGUAACUAGAAGAUUGUUUUUGGUUCAUUCUCCCUGAGGUCACCCCUCAGAGCCAGGGCCUCACUGUUGCUGAGUACCCAAGAGUCCUGCGUGCCUCUCUGGGUGCUUUCCCCAUACCUUGAGUGCUGACUAUAGGUCAGGGAUUGAACUCUUUCCAUCAUUACUUUUUUUUUACAACAAGCUGAUAAGGCCCAUUGCACAGAAGCAGAUAGAUACCAAGUUAGAGAGGUUACCUGACUUGCCAGGGUCACAUGGCUGCUCUCUCCAGCUAUAAUACUCCACCUUCUCAGCUGUGGACAAACCAUUGCCUCAAAUUAUAAAAAGGAAAAAGAAUGAUAGGAUUGACUUGAAUUGACAGGGAGUGGGAAAAACUAUGUUACCACUCCGUUUCCAGCUCGCUUCUGUUAAUAGAGGAAAACGUGAGUAAGCAGGCAAGCAAGGAGCACGGUAUUUAAGUGGCUCCCCUGUCCAGCAUGGACAUGCCAAGAUUCUGUUUGGUACAGAACAAAACCCCCAAGCCUGGAGCAAUUCCCUAUCCUGAACAGGGGAGGCAUUCUGGGUUCUCGGAGCUUGUGCCUACCCUGCCAGGGGCCGGGCCUCUGCUGUGGGUCUACGAUGGCACCUUUCUGGGCACCUCCCUGGUUCUGCAGCAGCAGACUUGCAGGCAGGCAGUGCCCAGCCACAGGCCAUGGGCCUUUCCCUCUGCUCUCAGGCAGAUGGCUGCAUCCAUCAUCGAUCCUAAUAGGAAUAGGUUGCGAGGACAGCUAGCUGUCUGCCCCACUGAUCACCAAAGUCCUGGGAAAGCAGUGGACAUCUUCCAGCCACGGGUGUCUAAUCCCCUAGCCUCUGCCUGUGACCCCGUAACUGUGUGCCUAGCCAUGUUCUCUUGAUUCCAGUCAUUACUUAUGACCCUUUGCUUGUCCACAUGACUCUCUCUUCAAGCUGCUGGACUGCGCCCCCCCAACCCAGUUCCUCUCUCUGCUGCUUUCCUCCUUUCAUCCUACCCCUCCUAGGGAUAUUGGAGGUAGAAGAGGAGAGUUCUGGACACGUGCACUGGCAGGGCUGUGGUCGUCAGAUGGCAACAAAUAGGUGACUUUCAUUCAACAAACGGGUUGCCCAGAGAAUGACGCAAAUCGAACUGCUAAUGACAGGAGCCGUCCAGGGCCCAGCGCUGGCCUCAGCCUCCAGGGCCAUCCAAAGAAUGGGAGCUGUGGCUCCCUACCUGCCCCAGUCCCAUGACCAUACAAAUGUCAAAGACGGUCUCUCCUGGGAAAGCACCAUAGGGCAAGGAUUUGUAAUAAAACCACAGUGCUGUGGAUUUCCACCCCCUUGACUAUUAAAGCUUGUCUGUGAUCAUGUACCAAGUGUCGUUGUUCUGAGCUUCAAGCAGAAAGGAAGGAGGGCUUCAGGGGCAGGAGCUGGCGAGAGGCCUGAUGACAUCAGCUCUCCCAGGACCGUCGUUUUGUUUUAUGGCCCUUCUUCCAGUCCUCUGAGAUCUCCGCUGUCUGAACUCGCCCCAGAGAGAAGCAGCCGCAGCCCGUUCAGUUUCUCCCCUCCUACUAAGUAUUUCUGGCAGUGACAAAUAUGCACUGAGAUUGAAAUUGACUUUUAAAGCUCUGGAAAAGUUAAAAAUACUUUUGGGUAGUUAUGAGCAUUAGGCAUAACAAAUGGCUCCGAGAAACCCUGGGUAGUUUGGGUAAUGAAAUAUGAAGUACUGGGGGUGGCAUUUCAGGCUGGCUCUGGCUGGGGAAGGAACUCUUUGGGAUCUGGGCAAAUGCCGUUAUUAACAUUUCUGGCUCCCACGCCUAUAAAAUACCACAUUCCGACCCCCUCGUUAUGACAAAGCAGGGCAAUAACAAAAACAGCAGGGGGGAAAUGUUGGAAAGAACAUAUUAGUCCAUCGAAUCUAAUUGCAAAAUCAUUUCAUUAAAAUGGGUCAGCGGUUCCAUCGCAGAGGUCCACCAGUUAUAAUCUAACUAUACUACAGAGAGCGAUUCCUGCUAACUACAGACGCUCUCACCCUUGAUUAAAUGAAAACGCAUUUAAUCGGCCGCAGUCCCCGGCCACAGCCCAGCCGGUGUACAUCUUCAGGCUCGCUCUGUUGAAGAACAACCGUGCUCCCUCCUGUCUUCCAAAGGCAAAAUUUGAUCGGCGCUCAGGGUUCCUCUACUUUGCGAGGAUUCCAUUGUAGGCGCCUUCUAAAGGAAAAAUAACAUGCCUGCGUACGAAGUGUCCAUCCAUGCCAUCACCAUGUAGAGCCACCGGCAGGAACAAGAGAGGAUUGUCAUUUAGCAGGGUUUGCAAAAUGAAACUCACCCAGGACUCCGCACGCUGAUGUGUCUGGAGGAAGAUGGCCCAGGUCAGAGUUAUUCGGUGGGAUGGAUGCUGGCAAGCCAAGGGCAAGAGAUUUGCAUAAUGCAUUGGAUUAGGAAGCAGCCCAAAGAACUGUGGGCAUACGUGCACAGAUUUCGCUCACACAAACCUGGGGGUGGCAGGUGGGAUGAAGGAAGGGGGUGGGGAACGGGCAAAGAGGGAAAGGAGACAGGUCCAGGCCUCCGAUCCCAUCUUCAGGAGAAGGUCUCACUUCAGAAUCAGAGGACCACCAAGUUCAUCAGCUAUCAGGGAUUAGCGUAAAUUGAUGAGGUGAGGGGGUGAGAAGCCAUGAGCGUGGAAGAUGGCUGCUUCCUACCUCCCACUGCCCCCUGCAGGAAAGCGCUGUUCCGUCUCCCUCUGCCAAGUUGGACUCUAUAAUCAGUCCUAGAAAAGACCGGGAUGAAGGUUUUUGUCAAAAAUCCCGCACAUUUGCAGGAAAGCACAGUAUUGGUCACACAGGCCCUGGUAUCUGCCUGCCUGGGUUCGUCCCUCUGUGGUGUACCAAGGGCCCCAGUCUUCUCAUCUGUAAAAUGGAGUCACAAUAAUCUCAGAGUGUUACAAGGACUAAAUGGGCUCCCCCAUCUGAAUUUUGAAGAAUAGUGCCCGGCUCGUGCUCCAUGCUCCGUAAAAGUCAGCUAUGAUCACUAGCUACACGGAUGUUUUAGUGGCCUCCGAUAGGCCAAAUGUUCUACGAGGUUCUGGAAAAUAACAGUAAUAGGAUCACAAAUGUCCAUGCAGUUCUUUUCCCUUCCCCAGAGCCUCUCCACUGUCACGCUCUUCCUUGCAUUUGCACAACCAUCCCCACGAAGCGGGGGCAAGUCCAAGAUCCCCAUCUCCCACGUGGAGGGGCGGAGGCUAGUAAGUGCCAGAGCCUGGACAAGCCCACGACUGCUAAAGUUUCUGCACUGCUAGCGGCCCACACUGGCCCUACCGCGGAUCAGAUCACCAAGGUCCGCCUCAAGCCCUUAAGCAACCCCGUGAUGUUCACGUUCUCCAAAACACUCUGGGGACAUUCACAUACAGGACAGCCGGAGUGCGAACAGUGCCCUGCUUACACAACCGGACAAACGUGGACCAAGCCUGGGUUUUGUGCCUAGCACGGUGCUAAUGAACCGUUGACCCCUGUCAGCUGGGAAAAACCAGGGCUUCCCCAGUGACCGCUGCUGAGCCUGCUGGUCUCACAAGGUGUGCCCGGGUGCCAAGGGAUCAUUUCUAAUCAGUAAAGCGGCACCCCGGGCCUGUCCUGAGACGUCACUUGCUGAUCUUCUUGCUGUUACUGUGCGAUCUCAGGAGAGAUUCGAUGGCAAAAAUAAAUAAAUAAAUAAAUCUUCAUUCCAACCACUCUUAGCUCAUCAGAACUGGCUUCUUUCACUGUAGUUAAACCAACCUUAUUCUCAGAGACGGGACAAAUCACUUGGACCCUCCCAAGAGUUGUGCUUGUCUUGACAGUUUUUAAGUGUGAAUAUAUUGCUAUUACUGGUUUUAAAGAGGAUCCUCAGGCAGGAUUCACACGCAUUUAGGGCCCUGGGCUCCAAUUUCCCAGGUCUGCAGCCCUCAUUAUUGUUCUCCCAGUGCUGAGACGUGGUGUCAGUGAUCGUUGACCUCCAUACGCUGGGUCUCCUUUGUUGUUUCAUCAGCUGCUUGAGGAGAACUGAGUUUGUGACCCCCUUCCCUGACCUCAUCCCCCCCCGACACAGCCCCCAUCAAAAUGCCAUCAAAAUCUCUUCAUUUGGGAUUUUCAUGAACGUUUAGAGGGUCCACAAAUGAUGGGCAUCAGAACUAAGUACUCUCCACCCCAAAUUGUAGCCCAAAUUCUGCACAUGUGCACCUAGGAGCAUUUCUCUGGAACAUAAAUUUGCAUCAGCUUCUCAAAGAGGUUCAUGACCCACAAAAGCUUAAGAGCCCACAGAGCUUGAGCCUGGCUUCCCAGAGGACUCAAUGAGGGACAAAGACCAAAUGGACAGUGGGAGGGUGGUCACAAAUGAAGACAAUGCUGUGUCUAUGCCUGGGACAGCCCCCACCAUCACCACCACGUGUCUCCCAAUUGCCACUACCCAUAAUCUCGGCCCAGGCCGGGCCCCCCGGUGAUCCUGACUGCCCUCUUUGGCCCC
This is a long non-coding RNA of Mustela erminea (ermine), 7869 nucleotides long. RefSeq lists it as uncharacterized. The transcript is spliced from 3 exons. NCBI's taxonomy places the organism in Eukaryota, Metazoa, Chordata, Mammalia, Carnivora, Mustelidae. The record is from RefSeq and is a predicted model, not a curated record.